This 202-nucleotide ribosomal RNA is filed under the name Halomonas sp. ISCar-Hm1. Its description in RNAcentral is "partial 16S ribosomal RNA". It matches the Rfam family "Bacterial small subunit ribosomal RNA", at positions 1329 to 1532 of the family's 1533-position model. Lineage: Bacteria; Pseudomonadati; Pseudomonadota; Gammaproteobacteria; Oceanospirillales; Halomonadaceae. The record is from RNAcentral. RNAcentral also lists the same sequence under 1 other name.
GAAUCGCUAGUAAUCGUGGAUCAGAAUGGCACGGUGAAUACGUUCCCGGGCCUUGUACACACCGCCCGUCACACCAUGGGAGUGGACUGCACCAGAAGUGGUUAGCCUAACUUUGGAGGGCGAUCACCACGGUGUGGUUCAUGACUGGGGUGAAGUCGUAACAAGGUAGCCGUAGGGGAACCUGCGGCUGGAUCACCUCCUU